This 1461-nucleotide long non-coding RNA is filed under the name Phascolarctos cinereus (koala). RNAcentral describes it as "lncRNA (ENSPCIG00000033714.1)". The record is from RNAcentral. Lineage: Eukaryota; Metazoa; Chordata; Mammalia; Diprotodontia; Phascolarctidae.
UAUACUUUGUAUAGAUUCCUUCCUACUUUGGUCUCCUGUGCCCUAGAGUGGAGCCUGGAGCAAAGGCUGAACGCUUCUUUCCCUGGCUCUACCCUCUCUGUUUCCUGGACUCUUCCCAGUCAGUGGUCUGCUCUUUGCCCCCCUCCCCCAUCCACAUUUGGCCUUAGCGACUCCUCCCCUACUCCACAUCUGUCCUUGGUGUCUGUCUCCAAUUCCAUCCACAUCUGUACUGUAGCCCUCCCUCCUUGGCCUCCUUGUCACCUCCCCCAGCCUCGGCCUCCCUUUUUUCUGUGUCCCCCUUUCCCUUCCCCCUCCUUUCCCUUCCUCCUGAGCAUGCUCUUCCUCCCUUCUCCUUUCUCAAUCCCUCUAUUCCAGCUCACUCUCUCGGCUCAUUGUUCCCUUUUUCCUCUUCUUCUCCCCUGUGCUUGGAGAUCCCUCCCACUACCACCCACACAGAGGGAACCAGCAGCAGGCCCGUGCAGCUCAGAGGCGGAUUGUCUUCUCUUCCUCUCUAGCCAGCGGCCUUGGGCUCUGCCUAGAUCUUGGCCUCCUCUCCCUGGGGGUGAGGCUGGUGGCAGGAAUGUGCAGCUGCAGACGCCUCCUCUGCCACCUCUGGACUGGAACCCUGGGCCUCCCGGCUGACCCAGUAACUGAAUCAGCCCCUGGACUCUGGAAGGGAGGGGGGCUUGGGAUGGGGUUGAGGGAGCAUCAUCUGGUCUAGUUCUCUUGGAGUCUCUGUCAGGGUGUCUCUCUGUCUUGCUCUGCAUGGCUGUCUCCCUCCCUCUCCUUCUCUUGCUUUCUGUCUCUUUCUGUCUUUCUGUGUGUGUGUCUCUCUGCCAGUGUCUCUCUUUGUCUCUGUAACUGGCAUUCCUUGUGUCAUGGUGGGUGUCUGGCUAUCUCUGUUUCUCUCAAUGUCUCUGCCCCUUUCUAUCUCUAUGCACACUUUUCAGCCAAGGCCUGAGGCUGCUUCCUUGUGGUGGUCUAGGACAAAAGGGAGGUAGGGGGUCAGAGCCUGGGGCAUGGGAUUACCCUGGCCUCAAGGGGCUGUGUGCCCACAUGGGUGAGAGGGGCAUCAGGGGAGUCCUUCCAGACUUGGGCAAAGCCAGAGCCUACUAUGGGAUCUAAGGCCUGUGGGCCAUGUGGGACCCAUGUGAUGCAUGUGUAAUGCCCAUGUAAUAUUGUGAUAUAUGUGUGCCCCCCUCCCCAUCCCCUCGAGAGCAGAGCAGACCCCUGGUCUCCAGGACAACGGGAAGAGGAGGAGAGGAGGAGGAGGAGGAGGAGGAGAGGAGGAGGAGGAGGAGGAGGAGGAGGAGGAGGAAAGACUGGUGGCCUUUGAGAGCCCUUCCCCCUGGGGACCACAACAAGGAGGCAGGCGAUUCAACCAUAACCGCCCGCUGCCGCCGCCUCCUCCGCCUCCGCCGCCGCCGCUGCCAUCGCCGGCCCACGUAGCCCAAGCCCCGG